UACGGAGGGGGCUAGCGUUGUUCGGAAUUACUGGGCGUAAAGCGCGCGUAGGCGGCUUUGUAAGUUAGAGGUGAAAGCCCGGGGCUCAACCCCGGAACUGCCUUUAAGACUGCGUCGCUUGAAUCCGGGAGAGGUGAGUGGAAUUCCGAGUGUAGAGGUGAAAUUCGUAGAUAUUGGGAAGAACACCGAUGGCGAAGGCAGCCAUCUGGACCGACACUGACGCUGAGGCGCGAAAGCGUGGGGAGCAAACAGG
This 253-nucleotide ribosomal RNA is filed under the name uncultured bacterium. RNAcentral's name for it is "partial 16S ribosomal RNA". It matches the Rfam family "Bacterial small subunit ribosomal RNA", at positions 524 to 776 of the family's 1533-position model. The record is from RNAcentral.